GACGAACGCUGGCGGCGUGCUUAACACAUGCAAGUCGAACGAAAAGGCCCUGCUCUUGUGGGGUGCUCGAGUGGCGAACGGGUGAGUAACACGCGAGUAACCUGUCCUUGUCAUUGGGAUAACUUCACGAAACUCGGGCGAAUAUCGCAUAGGAGCUCCUGCUGCACGGUGGGCGUUGGAGAGAUUCGGCGGUGGGGGAUAGACUCGCGGCUUAUGCGCCAGUUUGUGUGGUAGUGGCUUACCAAGCCUAUGACGGGUAGCCGGCAUGGGAGGGGGGACAGCCACAUGAGGACUAAGAGACGGAGCAGUCUGCAACGGGCGGCAGUGGGCGGGAGUAUUGCGGAGUGGGCCGAAGCGUGAGGCAGCAACGCCGCGUGCGGAAUGACGGGCUUCGGGUGGUAAACCGCUUUCGCCUGUGACGAAGAGGGAUUGACGGUAAUGGGUAAAGAAGCACCGGCUAACUACGUG
Molecule: ribosomal RNA, 468 nt
Filed under: uncultured bacterium
Lineage: Bacteria
Description: partial 16S ribosomal RNA
Rfam family: Bacterial small subunit ribosomal RNA
Source: RNAcentral